UUUAAAUGCCCGUGAACUUAUUUUUCUCGAGUACUUAGUAAAAGGCCCUGGAUCCCAUAAGGGAUGAGGGGGAGGAGAGGAUGGCGCAGGCUCUCUAGGGUCAGGUUAGUCACGUAGGAAAGGUCAGCGCAGGGCUGCGAUGGUUCCUUAUCUCAAGGCAUAAAGUCUGGGCUGUGGGGCUUCUGCAAAUUCUCUUAGGCGCGCUCCUGGGUGGCAGCAGGGUCAGGAGGUGUCGGGGGUGGGGUCGCGGGGGUGGCGGGCGUCCCCAGGUUUGCUUGAGCAUCUCCUUUUCCUCGGGGAGGCCGGAGGCCGCGCCCACCCGGGCGAAAUUUCCGGAGGCCCACGCCGGGCCCGAAGCCCGCAGGGCCGCGCACGCGGGAUGCCGCGCAGGUCGACUUAAAGGAGCCGGCUUACUCAGCGCGAGGCCCCCGCGGCUUACUCGCUUCUAUUCCGGGCUAAACCAAGGUCACUCUUUAAUACGGCCCGACCGAGCGGGCGGGCUGCGGGCGGUGACCGGCGGGCGGCCAGCGCGCACCUGCGGGCGGCCGC
RNAcentral lists this long non-coding RNA (549 nucleotides) under Rattus norvegicus (Norway rat). Its description in RNAcentral is "long non-coding RNA NONRATT014947". The record is from RNAcentral. Lineage: Eukaryota; Metazoa; Chordata; Mammalia; Rodentia; Muridae.